GAACGCUAGCGACAGGCUUAACACAUGCAAGUCGAGGGGCAGCAUAAAAGUAGCAAUACUUGGUGGCGACCGGCGCACGGGUGAGUAACGCGUAUGCAACCUACCUAUCAGAGGGGAAUAACCCGGCGAAAGUCGGACUAAUACCGCACAAAACAGGGGCACCGCAUGGUGAUAUUUGUUAAAGAAAUUCGCUGAUAGAUGGGCAUGCGUUCCAUUAGGUAGUUGGUGAGGUAACGGCUCACCAAGCCGACGAUGGAUAGGGGAACUGAGAGGUUGGUCCCCCACACUGGUACUGAGACACGGACCAGACUCCUACGGGAGGCAGCAGUGAGGAAUAUUGGUCAAUGGGCGAGAGCCUGAACCAGCCAAGUCGCGUGAAGGAAGAAGGAUCUAUGGUUCGUAAACUUCUUUUGCAGGGGAAUAAAGUGCAGGACGUGUCCUGUUUUGUAUGUACCCUGAGAAUAAGGAUCGGCUAACUCCGUGCCAGCCGCUGC
This 494-nucleotide ribosomal RNA is filed under the name uncultured bacterium. RNAcentral's name for it is "bacterial SSU rRNA". It matches the Rfam family "Bacterial small subunit ribosomal RNA", at positions 31 to 518 of the family's 1533-position model. The record is from RNAcentral.